Molecule: unclassified non-coding RNA, 1220 nt
Filed under: Drosophila virilis
Lineage: Eukaryota; Metazoa; Arthropoda; Insecta; Diptera; Drosophilidae
Description: GJ14240
Source: RNAcentral
UUUCAAGCAGAGAAAUAUUCAUCCAACGAAAAUGUCAAAUAGUUCAUUUGAAGAGGGUAAACUUAUGGCUGUCAUAGGCGAUGAGGACACCUGCGUUGGCUUUCUGCUUGGCGGCAUUGGCGAAGUCAACGAGGAGCGUCAGUCGAACUUUAUGGUUGUCGAGAAAGACACCAGCGCCGCGGCCAUAGACGAGUGCUUCAAGCGCUUCGUGGCACGCGAGGAUAUCGCCAUCAUAAUGAUCAAUCAGAUAUAUGCGGACAUGAUACGCGCCACCAUCGACAAGCACCUGCUGCCUGUGCCCACUGUGCUGGAGAUACCCUCGAAGCAGCAGCCGUACGACGUUAACAAGGACUCCAUACUGAAGCGUGCGCAUCGAAACUUAAGAGGAACCAAAUCGUAUAGGCAAAAUAUUAAAAUUCAUUUAUUCUUUGAAAAAAGAGCUCUUUCCUCAAAAUUAUCCACGGAAGAUCACAGCGACAGCGAGCUGGUGAACAUAUUCAAGUUCCUGCAGCGGGCCGUCGAGACCUUUGGCCGCAAUCAUGGCCUGCAGCUGGCGCUGCCCAAGGAGACGGGCGCCCGGGUGCUGGACGAGGCGGGCAUUCGGACAAAUUCUUAUACACAAUUUUUGGUCGAAAGGAAUUAGGGCGAUAUGUAUAAAUGAAUAUUCUCGGAUUAAUUUAGCAACAUAUGUUGGUGCUUAUAUUAUUAAAUGCAUAAUCCAUCCAGUUGAACUAAAAUAUUGUGUGACAAGGAUUAAGGAAAAAAGGCAUAAGGACUCUGCUGCAGCAUCAACAACAACAACAACAACAGCAACAACAACUUCAUAUAAGUAAAGUCCCAUGAGUGCAUUUCAUGCUGCACGUUGAAUGAAUGAACAGCAAGUGCUAUAACUACAGAGACAGUUACAGAUACUUAGUUAUAGCUACUAACAAGGGAAAACAAGAGAACAAUAAGUGCGACACAUAGCUGGAGGCAAAGGGGCCACAUAAUCAGGGUCGAGACAUGAUAAUCGCCAUGAAUCGCACUGAAUUUGGAACAUUGCCGCAAUUCGAAAGCUCAGCGGAGAUAUUUAAAGCGAUUGCGAGAAACAGCAAUUUUGAUCUGAUUGGGGAACGCCGGCACUUGGCAAAUUUUCCCUCGCUACACACAGGCGAUGUCAGCAGCAGCAGCAGCAGCAGCAUCAGCAACAGCAUCAGCAACAACAUCAACAACAGCAGCAA